Molecule: ribosomal RNA, 468 nt
Filed under: uncultured bacterium
Lineage: Bacteria
Description: partial 16S ribosomal RNA
Rfam family: Bacterial small subunit ribosomal RNA
Source: RNAcentral
GACGAACGCUGGCGGCGUGCUUAACACAUGCAAGUCGAACGGACAGGCCCUGCUUUUGUGGGGUUCUCGAUUGGCGAACGGGUGAGUAACACGUGAGUAACCUGCCCUUGACUUUGGGAUAACUUCAGGAAACUGGGGCUCAUACCCCAUAUGAGCUCCUGCUGCAUGUUGGGGGUUGGAAAGUUUCGGCGGUUGGGGAUGGAAUCGCGGCUUAUCCGCUUGUUGGUGGGGUAGUGGCUUACCAAGGCUUUGAAGGCUAGCCGGCCUGAGAGGGUGACCGGCCACAUGGGGACUGAGGUACGGCCCAGAAUCGUACGGGAGGCAGCAGUGGGAAAUAUUGCACAAUGGGCGGAAGCCUGAUGCAGCAACGCCGGGUGCGGGAUGACCGCCUUCGGGGUGUAAACCGAUUUCGCCUGUGACGAAGCGUGAGUGACGGUAAUGGGUAAAGAAGCACCGGCUAACUACGUG